UGCCAGCCGCCGCGGUAAGACGGAGGGGGCUAGCGUUGUUCGGAUUUACUGGGCGUAAAGAGCAUGUAGGCGGCAUGGCAAGUUGGGAGUGAAAGCCCGGGGCUUAACCUCGGAACUGCUCUCAAAACUGCCAAGCUAGAGUAUGGUAGAGGAUGAUGGAAUUCCUAGUGUAGAGGUGAAAUUCUUAGAUAUUAGGAGGAACACCGGUGGCGAAGGCGGCCCGCUGGGGCUAUUCUGACGCUAAUGUGCGAAAGCGUGGGGAGCGAACGGGAUUAGAUA
RNAcentral lists this ribosomal RNA (279 nucleotides) under uncultured bacterium. RNAcentral describes it as "partial 16S ribosomal RNA". It matches the Rfam family "Bacterial small subunit ribosomal RNA", at positions 506 to 784 of the family's 1533-position model. The record is from RNAcentral.